AGUGAAUAGAUACCCCGGUAGUCCACGCCGUAAACGAUGGAUGCUAGCUGUUAUGAGUAUCGACCCUCGUAGUAGCGAAAGCUAACGCGUUAAGCAUCCCGCCUGUGGAGUACGAGCGCAAGCUUAAAACAUAAAGGAAUUGACGGGGACCCGCACAAGCGGUGGAGCGUGUUGUUUAAUUCGAUGAUAAACGAAGAACCUUACCAAGGCUUGACAUCCUGCUAAGGUUUCCGAAAGGAAACUGUGCCUUCGGGCCGCAGUGACAGGUGUUGCAUGGCCGUCGUCAGCUCGUGUCGUGAGAUGUUUGGUUAAGUCCAUUAACGAGCGCAACCCUUUUAGCUAAUUGAAUUUCUCUAGCUAGACUGCCCCGGUAACGGGGAGGAAGGAGGGGAUGAUGUCAGGUCAGUAUUACCCUUACGCCUUGGGCGACAAACACGCUACAAUGGCCGGUACAAAGGGCAGCUAAGUCGCGAGACGGAGCAAAUCCCAUCAAAGCCGGUCUCAGUUCGGAUUGCAGGCUGAAACCCGCCUGCAUGAAGCUGGAA
This 545-nucleotide ribosomal RNA is filed under the name uncultured bacterium. RNAcentral describes it as "bacterial SSU rRNA". It matches the Rfam family "Bacterial small subunit ribosomal RNA", at positions 773 to 1331 of the family's 1533-position model. The record is from RNAcentral.